This 165-nucleotide small nuclear RNA is filed under the name Lynx canadensis (Canada lynx). Its description in RNAcentral is "U2 spliceosomal RNA (ENSLCNG00005006481.1)". It matches the Rfam family "U2 spliceosomal RNA". Rfam says of the family: U2 is a small nuclear RNA (snRNA) component of the spliceosome (involved in pre-mRNA splicing). Complementary binding between U2 snRNA (in an area lying towards the 5' end but 3' to hairpin I) and the branchpoint sequence (BPS) of the intron results the bulging out of an unpaired adenosine, on the BPS, which initiates a nucleophilic attack at the intronic 5' splice site, thus starting the first of two transesterification reactions that mediate splicing. Lineage: Eukaryota; Metazoa; Chordata; Mammalia; Carnivora; Felidae. The record is from Rfam by way of RNAcentral.
AUCGCUUCUCGGCCUUUUGACUAAGAUCAAGGGUAGUAUCUGUUCUUAUCAGUAAAUAAAUCACCAUGCCAUACAGUUAAUAAACUUAAGUGUUGUGUGUGUGUGUGUGUGUGUCUUCAUAUGAAAAUCUAAUGACUGUUCGUCAAGGGCUGUAUUAGACAUUUU